CCUACGGGUGGCAGCAGUGAGGAAUAUUGGUCAAUGGACGCAAGUCUGAACCAGCCAUGCCGCGUGCAGGAAGACGGCUCUAUGAGUUGUAAACUGCUUUUGUACGAGGGUAAACGCAGAUACGCGUAUCUGUCUGAAAGUAUCGUACGAAUAAGGAUCGGCUAACUCCGUGCCAGCAGCCGCGUUAAUACGGAGGAUUCAAGCGUUAUCCGGAUUUAUUGGGUUUAAAGGGUGCGUAGGCGGUCGGAUAAGUUAGAGGUGAAAUCCCGAGGCUCAACUUCGGAAUUGCCUCUGAUACUGUUCGGCUAGAGAGUAGUUGCGGUAGGCGGAAUGUAUGGUGUAGCGGUGAAAUGCUUAGAGAUCAUACAGAACACCGAUUGCGAAGGCGGCUCUCUGGUCUGCAACUGACGCUGAGGCUCGAAAGCAUGGGUAGCGAACAGGAUUAGAUACCCGAGUAGUC
Molecule: ribosomal RNA, 460 nt
Filed under: uncultured bacterium
Lineage: Bacteria
Description: partial 16S ribosomal RNA
Rfam family: Bacterial small subunit ribosomal RNA
Source: RNAcentral